ACUCGAAACAAAUUGAAGCCUCCCCACCGAGCAACUUAAUUGAAACCAAUAGUCCCAUUUACUCCCACCAAACCCGACAGCCACUUACACCUUCCGAAACAGCAACCCAUUUACUUCCUCAGUUCCUCCAGUCAAUACGCAUAUGCCUAUUGAAUGUGUCGAAACCUCUGUCCUCACAAAACCUAUUGCCUCUCUCUCUUCUCACAAAACGUGAAACCCUCUCUUCUCUAUAACAGAUUUACUCUCUCCUCCGUUCUCCGUCCUAGUCUUUUGGCAAACUCCUCUGCGAAAUUGAAAUGGGUUCGUUUGUAAUUGCGAGUUUCUCUUAGAUUUAGGGUUCUUAGGGUUCCAUUCUCUUAGAUUGUUCAUCUUCCUCUUCAGCGACAGGGGAGAUAAGAGUGCCCCAAAUCCACUUUCUCUCUCCUCCUCGCCUUCAAACUAGGGUCAAUUGAAGAUAUAUUGAAGAUGAAGGUGUCCGAGAUGGCGGAGGCGAACGUGCUGUGCUACCCCGACGAGGUGGCACUAUGCUGGGUUAAUUUGUACAUGUAUAAAUAUUCGCAGAUUGAGGUAUAUGAUACGGCAUCACUGUCUAUAAAAUCGAUAAGAGCAGUAUAGAAAGCAUGAAACCUUUAUCGACUCUAUUGACAAUGCCCUUAUUCUUCGAUUUGUUUGACGGAGGAGGAGGAAGGGCUUGUCACGGUGGCAUCAUCCUCCGCCCCAAAAAGGAAUUAUUUUCUUUCAAUUGGUAAAAAGCCGGCUUUUUUCGUGGAAUUUUACAACAACGAAGAAGAAGUUGUAGGCACAGAUCGAGCUGGAAUCCAUGGGCGAGGUGGCGGAAGCCCUAUGAGAGCACCGAAUCUUGACUGCAGCUCCCGUCGUCCUCAUGAUUGUUGUGGCUUUUCUUUUCGUCUCUGGUGGCUUGCUUUCCUAUUAGUUAUCAUACCACUAUGGUGGGUCCACUUGAUCGACGGGCCAUGAAGAAGACCAAAACCAAUUUCCUCUGAGAGGUAAGUUUGCUUCUUCCCCUUCCACUUUCUCUGAAGAUCAAACUCGACAACUGAGAGAGAUCUUGCUAAGGAUGAAGAAGCUAGCCAGAACAUUCGGAAAGUCUAAGGACGAUAAGCUUUCUCUUCCUACUCAUGGACGUCCCGACUCCCAUAGACUCCCAAGAACAAGAGGAACUAGUUCGAUCGUUCGAAAGGAACCAAGCUCAACAAAGUCGUUUCUUGAACUGGUUUGCAUCACUUAUUUUCUGCUUCACUGCGUUUCGUAUGUACUCAAUCUUUCAACAGGUUUCUUCUCCUUGGGAAUUGGUAUGAGUAUCUCCAUCGCAAAACUGGGAUCAAUUUCUAUUAUUACAAAUGUGGUGCAUGUGUGGAUCAUUCUUGACAUUAUUUAUGGUAUUUGUUUUCGUGAUUAUUAUUAGGAGAUAUUAGUACUAGGAGCAUCUAGCUCUCUACUGUCUCUGUUUAUGUUUCAUUUAAUUGGAGUGGUGGUUGAAAAGCUACUUUAUUAGGACCGCUAGGACAUAUUUCUAUGUGUUUAAUGAUUAUGGAAUACAACAUGCACCUAUAUGUAACUCCUCAUAAUUAACCGCACGUCUGCACCUAGAUGUUUUCCUUGGCCCGUAAUAGGAUAUAGCUCAUAACUGAUUCAGGAGGGGAUUUCUUAGUGGGAUCAAAGGGUCUUGGAGUUAGGAGGGAGUGUUUGAUGGAUAGGGAAUGGUUCCGUCUGUGUAUUGUGGUUUAUAUUGAGACAUGGGAAAGACAUGUCUUUUGAGAAUGCAGAGGUCCCAAUUGGAGUUUUAAAGCACUAUACUAUUUGCACCCUGCCUAGGGGUCAGUUGGUGAAGAGAUCAAGUGCUUUAAUAUUUAGGCUAUUGAUGAUUGUAGACACUUGCCGUAUACUGCAUCUGAACUGUAUUGAUAGACAAAAAUAUGUUGUCUAUAAACCAAAACAACUUCAAGAAAUGACUGGGCACUCUUUUCCUUUUUCCUCUUAGGAAGAAAACUUCUAGACAAUUUAAACAUUGUUUUUCAUUAAUUGGCUUCAACAGUUCACAGGAUUGGUGAUCAAUUUAUAAUCUUUUAAGUUUCCUUUUGACUAGCAAUGCUCAGUUGCUCAGAUCAUAUUACAAAAGGCCAUUAGACUAACUUGCUAGUUAAAUAAUAAUGGCAACUGUCCAGCAAUUUCAUGCCAUUAAAGUUUUCCAGACUCGUCGCUAAAAUACAGCAUCAAUAUAAAAUAAAAUGGAAUUACUUUAUUGCAAUGCUGUUCUUAGAGAAAACACACUGGGAGAGGCUAUUCUAUGGGGAAUUGACGGGAAGCCAUAUCAUCUUCUAUGCAUGUACGAUUGCCCCCCCCCCCCCCCCCCUCUCUCUCUCUCUCUGUGCACGUGAGUGUGAGUAUGCAAAUUGUUAUUAACCAAGUCUAGACAAUUUGUUUUCGUUAUUGUGGACUAUAAACUUUGCAAAUGGAAUUUCUUAACAGCAACAUGAUGCCUUUAUAUAUUUGUAUUCUUCAUUGUAGAGCCUUUUCCUUUACAUUGGAAGUUAGUAUGUAAAAUACUUUUGUAGACCUGAUUGUUGCGAGGAUUAAGGAGAAUGAUUCUGAUAUCACUCCUUUAAAUGCCAAUUCAGGUGAAGAUAGGAUACUACUGCUCAUUAAUUUAUGUCUUAUUUUUUUAUAUGCUGAUUAUUAAAAUUGGAUUUCGUUGUGGAUAUGAGGCCUUUGCCUAAAUUGGAUGCAGACACCAUGGAAAUCUUCAAGGGGUAAGCAAACUGUGAAUUGCUUUUGUUCAAAUGUACCUCUCAGUCUUAUUUGAUAUUAUUGUCCAGUCUGCAGGCUCAUAUUUGAAAUUGAAAGUAUCUUCUCAGAGAAAGCACAUAAACUCCAGUAAAGGGUAUGUUCUCUCCUUACUUUUGUUAUACUUACUAAUUAUUAUCUUUGUGUUUGCUAUGUGAAGAGCGGAAGGGAGAAGAUGGUGAGUAUUUAAAAUACUUAGCUUAUACAAUCAUUAGCCUGACUUAUCUAUGUUUGUCUCCUUACAGUAACGGAGAUAGGGCUUCAAAAUUCAAAUACAAAUGGAGUUAUGGAGAUAUCUUAAAAGGAUCUCACAUACGUUUAGCUAUAAGACCUCUUCAUUUAUACUUGCUGCUUAUGUUUGAAAUGCUUGAUAUUUUACUUGGGUCUUGGCAUUGUGUAAAUGACUUUAAUUGCAGUUAAACACUCAUAUUGGAUAAAGAAGGUGGGUCUGGAGAACCUAUUAAAGAAAUUCUUAGAUGCUUUUUAAGUUUCAAGUAGAUAUAAGUACUUUUUAUUUGUUCUUCAUGCCUGAACGGAAAGCAUUCCGUAUCUCUCUGUUUUUUUUUUUUUUUGCUUGGUCUUUGAAUCGAAAUGGUAAUGACCUGUAUAGUGUAGCUUGCUAUGAUAGUACUUUUUCUUGUUGAUGUUGUUGCUAUUUGUGUUGAUUGUGAUGGUGGUUUUGUACACUCAGAUGUUGCACCGGGAGUUUCUGAUUUGAGUUUCGUGCAUGGAAAUUUAUAUUGAAGAAACUAAUGACCUUUUGGCUGUAGAGAACCAGAAAUUGCAUAUUCAUGAGUGUUUGGAGAUGGAUUUGGGGACAAGGGUAAGCCUGUAUCGGAAUGUUGUUGAAGUAUAUGAAAAAAAAGUUGGAACUAUUUUCCAAUUAAGCUGUUGGAUGCUCCACCCUCCACACUAGGUGCUGCUGCCUUAGCACUACACUAUGCAAAUAUGUUCCAUCCGCCACACUAGGUGCUGUUGAAAAAGAAGUUGUCCUACUUGUCAAGACAAGGAACUUGCUUUGAAGACUGAGAGUGUUUCUGAGAAACAGCAUUUUACCGUGAAAUGGCUUCAACUGCUGAGACUAGAUGGGAGUUUAGUACAAGAUAGAUGAGGAGCCGUAUAUGUAGGAGUGGACUGAGCAAUUGGAAAGCAGUGACCCUUUUAUGUAGGAGCCAUGUAUGUCGCAGCUGCGUAUGUGCAUAUUUUUGGAACAAAUAUAUAUUGUAUCUGCUUUUGCUGGUUUUCAUUGUUAGUUAGAAUGCAGCAGCCAUCAAGCUGCUCUCUUCUUUUUUUGUUUCAUUGUAUAGAUACUUGAAUGUAUGGAUGAUUGACAAAUGUUAGCUCUUUUGGUACAUUAGAUGCUUGAAUUAGAAUGCUUCAUUACAUAAUA
Molecule: long non-coding RNA, 4195 nt
Organism: Rosa chinensis
Lineage: Eukaryota; Viridiplantae; Streptophyta; Magnoliopsida; Rosales; Rosaceae
Exons: 4
Source: RefSeq, a predicted model, not a curated record